GAGUUUGAUCCUGGUUCAGGACGAACGCUGGCGGCGUGCUUAACACAUGCAAGUCGAACGGAGAUUUAAGAGGAAGCUUGCGAAUCUUAAAUUUUAGUGGCGGACGGGUGAGUAACACGUGGAUAACCUGCCUGUAAGACCGGGACAACACCUGGAAACGGGUGCUAAUACCGGGUAAGCUCUUCAGCCCGCAUGGGCAGAAGAGGAGAGGGGAAACCCGCUUACAGAUGGGUCCGCGGCCCAUUAGCUAGUUGGCGGUGUAACAGACCACCAAGGCGACGAUGGGUAGCCGGCCUGAGAGGGUGACCGGCCACACUGGAACUGAGACACGGUCCAGACUCCUACGGGAGGCAGCAGUGGGGAAUCUUCCGCAAUGGGCGAAAGCCUGACGGAGCAACGCCGCGUGAAUGAUGAAGGCCUUCGGGUUGUAAAAUUCUGUCUUCAGGGAAGAAAAAAAUGACGGUACCUGAGGAGGAAGCCCCGGCUAACUACGUGCCAGCAGCCGCGGUAAUAC
This 514-nucleotide ribosomal RNA is filed under the name uncultured Peptococcaceae bacterium. RNAcentral describes it as "bacterial SSU rRNA". It matches the Rfam family "Bacterial small subunit ribosomal RNA", at positions 9 to 526 of the family's 1533-position model. The record is from RNAcentral. Lineage: Bacteria; Bacillati; Bacillota; Clostridia; Eubacteriales; Peptococcaceae.